ACGGACGUGGCGGAAUGGCAGACGCGCCAGACUUAGGAUCUGGUGAGGCAACUCGUGUGGGUUCAAGUCCCACCGUCCGUACCA
RNAcentral lists this transfer RNA (84 nucleotides) under Planctomycetota bacterium. Its description in RNAcentral is "tRNA-Leu". It matches the Rfam family "tRNA". Rfam says of the family: Transfer RNA (tRNA) molecules are approximately 80 nucleotides in length. Their secondary structure includes four short double-helical elements and three loops (D, anti-codon, and T loops). Lineage: Bacteria; Pseudomonadati; Planctomycetota. The record is from RNAcentral.